RNAcentral lists this ribosomal RNA (514 nucleotides) under uncultured bacterium. RNAcentral describes it as "bacterial SSU rRNA". It matches the Rfam family "Bacterial small subunit ribosomal RNA", at positions 8 to 518 of the family's 1533-position model. The record is from RNAcentral.
AGAGUUGAUAGGCUCAGGAUGAACGCUAGCGACAGGCUAACACAUGCAAGUCGAGGGGCAGCAUAAAAGUAGCAAUACUUGGUGGCGACCGGCGCACGGGUGAGUAACGCGUAUGCAACCUACCUAUCAGGAGGGGAAUAACCCGGCGAAAGUCGGACUAAUACCGCAUAAAACAGGGGCACCGCAUGGUGAUAUUUGUUAAAGAAAUUCGCUGAUAGAUGGGCAUGCGUUCCAUUAGGUAGUUGGUGAGGUAACGGCUCACCAAGCCGACGAUGGAUAGGGGAACUGAGAGGUUGGUCCCCCACACUGGUACUGAGACACGGACCAGACUCCUACGGGAGGCAGCAGUGAGGAAUAUUGGUCAAUGGGCGAGAGCCUGAACCAGCCAAGUCGCGUGAAGGAAGAAGGAUCUAUGGUUCGUAAACUUCUUUUGCAGGGGAAUAAAGUGCAGGACGUGUCCUGUUUUGUAUGUACCCUGAGAAUAAGGAUCGGCUAACUCCGUGCCAGCAGCGGC